UAGGGAAUCUUCCGCAAUGGACGAAAGUCUGACGGAGCGACGCCGCGUGAGCGAAGAAGGUCUUCGGAUCGUAAAGCUCUGUUGUUAGGGAAGAAGAAGUGCCGUUCGAACAGGGCGGCGCGGUGACGGUACCUAACGAGAAAGCCCCGGCUAACUACGUGCCAGCAGCCGCGGUAAUACGUAGGGGGCGAGCGUUGUCCGGAAUUAUUGGGCGUAAAGCGCGCGCAGGCGGUCCCUUAAGUCUGAUGUGAAAGCCCACGGCUUAACCGUGGAGGGUCAUUGGAAACUGGGGGACUUGAGUGCAGAAGAGGAGAGCGGAAUUCCACGUGUAGCGGUGAAAUGCGUAGAGAUGUGGAGGAACACCAGUGGCGAAGGCGGCUCUCUGGUCUGUAACUGACGCUGAGGCGCGAAAGCGUGGGGAGCAAACAGG
Molecule: ribosomal RNA, 430 nt
Filed under: Bacillota bacterium
Lineage: Bacteria; Bacillati; Bacillota
Also listed under: 1 other name
Description: Firmicutes bacterium partial 16S ribosomal RNA
Rfam family: Bacterial small subunit ribosomal RNA
Source: RNAcentral